RNAcentral lists this ribosomal RNA (410 nucleotides) under bacterium. Its description in RNAcentral is "partial 16S ribosomal RNA". It matches the Rfam family "Bacterial small subunit ribosomal RNA", at positions 355 to 776 of the family's 1533-position model. The record is from RNAcentral.
UGGGGAAUUUUGCACAAUGGGCGGAAGCCUGAUGCAGCGACGCCGUGUGGGGGAUGAAGGCCUUCGGGUUGUAAACUCCUUUCGUCAGGGACGAAGUUUGUUUGACGGUACCUGGAUAAGAAGCACCGGCUAACUACGUGCCAGCAGCCGCGGUAAUACGCAGGGUGCGAGCGUUGUCCGGAUUUACUGGGCGUAAAGGGCUCGUAGGUGGUGUGUUGCGUCGUCUGUGUAAUCCAGGGGCUUAACUUUUGGUUGGCAGGCGAUACGGGCAUUGCUUGAGUGCUGUAGGGGAGACUGGAAUUCCUGGUGUAGCGGUGAAAUGCGCAGAUAUCAGGAGGAACACCGAUGGCGAAGGCAGGUCUCUGGGCAGUUACUGACGCUGAGGAGCGAGAGCAUGGGUAGCGAACAGG